RNAcentral lists this ribosomal RNA (437 nucleotides) under uncultured Oscillospiraceae bacterium. RNAcentral's name for it is "partial 16S ribosomal RNA". It matches the Rfam family "Bacterial small subunit ribosomal RNA", at positions 341 to 792 of the family's 1533-position model. Lineage: Bacteria; Bacillati; Bacillota; Clostridia; Eubacteriales; Oscillospiraceae. The record is from RNAcentral.
ACGGGAGGCAGCAGUGGGGAAUAUUGGGCAAUGGGCGAAAGCCUGACCCAGCAACGCCGCGUGAAGGAAGAAGGUUUUCGGAUUGUAAACUUCUUUUAUCAGGGACGAAGGAAGUGACGGUACCUGAUGAAUAAGCCACGGCUAACUACGUGCCAGCAGCCGCGGUAAUACGUAGGUGGCAAGCGUUAUCCGGAUUUACUGGGUGUAAAGGGCGCGUAGGCGGGGAUGCAAGUCAGGUGUGAGAUCCAUGGGCUUAACCCAUGAACUGCACUUGAAACUGUAUUUCUUGAGUGCCGGAGAGGUAGACGGAAUUCCUAGUGUAGCGGUGAAAUGCGUAGAUAUUAGGAGGAACACCAGUGGCGAAGGCGGUCUACUGGACGAUAACUGACGCUGAGGCGCGAAAGCGUGGGGAGCAAACAGGAUUAGAUACCCUGGUA